This 37-nucleotide ribosomal RNA is filed under the name Atypus sp. Its description in RNAcentral is "partial 28S ribosomal RNA". The record is from RNAcentral. Lineage: Eukaryota; Metazoa; Arthropoda; Arachnida; Araneae; Atypidae.
CGACCUCAGAUCAGACGAGAUGACCCGCUGAAUUUAA